This 485-nucleotide ribosomal RNA is filed under the name uncultured bacterium. RNAcentral describes it as "bacterial SSU rRNA". It matches the Rfam family "Bacterial small subunit ribosomal RNA", at positions 28 to 526 of the family's 1533-position model. The record is from RNAcentral.
GACGAACGCUGGCGGCGUGCUUAACACAUGCAAGUCGAGCGAGGCCCUUCCUUCGGGAAGGUGUCCUAGCGGCGAACGGGUGAGUAACACGUGGGCAACCUGCCCUUGGCUCUGGGAUAAGCCCGAGAAAUCGGGUCUAAUACCGGAUACGACACGAGAUGGCAUCUUCUUCGUGUGGAAAGAACUUCGGCCAAGGAUGGGCCCGCGGCCUAUCAGCUUGUUGGUGGGGUAAAGGCCUACCAAGGCGACGACGGGUAACCGGCCUGAGAGGGCGACCGGUCACACUGGGACUGAGACACGGCCCAGACUCCUACGGGAGGCAGCAGUGGGGAAUAUUGCACAAUGGGCGAAAGCCUGAUGCAGCGACGCCGCGUGAGGGAUGACGGCCUUCGGGUUGUAAACCUCUUUCACCCAUGACGAAGCGAAAGUGACGGUAAUGGGAGAAGAAGGACCGGCCAACUACGUGCCAGCAGCCGCCGUAACAC